Long non-coding RNA from Aethalodelphis obliquidens (Pacific white-sided dolphin), 326 nucleotides. RefSeq lists it as uncharacterized. The record is from RefSeq and is a predicted model, not a curated record. The transcript has 3 exons. NCBI's taxonomy places the organism in Eukaryota, Metazoa, Chordata, Mammalia, Artiodactyla, Delphinidae.
GCCCCCUCCUCCGUGUGUAUCACAAACGUAGCACAAGUGUGGAGUGUCUGUGGACUCUUUCAGGGCAGAAUUUGUCGUUCCUGCCUCUGUUCCUCCAUGACACUUCGUGCAGACCUCUGCCCAAAGACCUCCACACUUGUGCCAAGUUUUGAUAACACGGAGGAGGAGGCAAGGGGACAUGAGCAAAGUGCCAUGGUGGGAAAGGAUGCAGGAGCUGCAGAAUGGUGAGUGGACCCGUGCAGCUGCAGUAUGAGGUGCCUGGUAUGGGGUGGUGGGCUGUGGAAGAUGAGGCAGGAAUGCCAAGCUGGCCUGAGACUAUGAAAGGC